UGGGGAAUUUUGGACAAUGGGCGCAAGCCUGAUCCAGCCAUGCCGCGUGCGGGAAGAAGGCCUUCGGGUUGUAAACCGCUUUUGUCAGGGAAGAAACGCUCUGGGCUAAUACCCUGGGGUAAUGACGGUACCUGAAGAAUAAGCACCGGCUAACUACGUGCCAGCAGCCGCGGUAAUACGUAGGGUGCAAGCGUUAAUCGGAAUUACUGGGCGUAAAGCGUGCGCAGGCGGUUAUGCAAGACAGAUGUGAAAUCCCCGGGCUCAACCUGGGAACUGCAUUUGUGACUGUAUAGCUAGAGUACGGUAAGAGGGGGAUGGAAUUCCGCGUGUAGCAGUGAAAUGCGUAGAUAUGCGGAGGAACACCGAUGGCGAAGGCAAUCCCCUGGACCUGUACUGACGCUCAUGCACGAAAGCGUGGGGAGCAAACAGGAUUAGAUACCCAAGUAGUCCCCUGAGCGGGCUGGCAAGGCGCAU
This 474-nucleotide ribosomal RNA is filed under the name uncultured bacterium. Its description in RNAcentral is "bacterial SSU rRNA". It matches the Rfam family "Bacterial small subunit ribosomal RNA", at positions 355 to 825 of the family's 1533-position model. The record is from RNAcentral.